Molecule: non-coding RNA, 93 nt
Organism: Canis lupus familiaris (dog)
Lineage: Eukaryota; Metazoa; Chordata; Mammalia; Carnivora; Canidae
Source: Rfam
AGGGGAUUGCCGGAUCCUGGGCUGUGCCCCCGGCGCCCAGGACUCUGGGGCCUGCGCCACUGGAAUUGCUCUCCCAGGGCCAAGCAUCCCCCU